Molecule: long non-coding RNA, 1153 nt
Organism: Lotus japonicus
Lineage: Eukaryota; Viridiplantae; Streptophyta; Magnoliopsida; Fabales; Fabaceae
Exons: 6
Source: RefSeq, a predicted model, not a curated record
CCCCUCACUCACUCACUCACUGCAGUGCUUCUCCGGCGACCACCGAACCGAGAAUCGAGAUGAUUAUUGCGGCGACGGGUUCAUCGUAGAUGAUGCUUCCGCCGGUGGCAUCUCAUUGCCGUUCUCACUCUUAAUCGCUGAUCGCUGCUUUCACCCGUCUCUCUUCAGAGGCUAAUGCUGCCUCUUCACUUUUCAACCUUCAUCUUUUGUUUUCCUUCAUUUUCACGGUUCUACCUUCAAUCUCAACCCUAACAUUAGGGUUCUUGGUCCGUUUUCCAAUUUCCCACACAAUAUUCAGUGAUGGCUUUCUUGAUUCGAUUGGAAAAGAUGAAAAGUUCUUUCACCCCGCAAGGAGGAGCAAGUGCCACGGUUGGACCAGAAGGAUUUUCUGACAGUUGAGCAUCUCCUGGAUCAUACAUAAAUAACAGCGUGCUAUAUGUUGUAAUAGAAUUUCGUGCACUGCCGCUAAUCUAGUGUAGAAGUAGAACCGAAGAGCUCCUCGCCGCAUGCUUUUGGGAUUUGGGGCUGCUUCAUUCCUGUCUCAGUCUAUGAACAUGUCUGGUGAUGUGGGUGGCAAGUCCUUCAUUGCUUCUGCAAGGAUAACGGGUGGUCCCUCUGUGGAUGAGAUACUUAAAAAUGUGGAAUGGCCAGAGCAGUUCCCCUUCAAGGAGGAGGAUUUUCAGCGAUAUCAUGAUCGAAUGAAAGGUGUCUUACUUUUGAAGAAGGCAAAGGAAUAUGGUGCAGUAGAAAUUUAGAUAAAUGAGUGAGUAGAGCUUGUGCAAACACCUCUGCAGAUUUUAUUGUUAUUCUUGAGAGCUCUAUUAAGAGAAGGCUGCUGAAUACUGGCUCAUAUGGCGGUUUGAAGGUGAUUCCACCUUAGCGAUCUGAUGCAGAGUAUAUUGUUUCUAUAUAACGUUGGUAGUCUCUUUAAAUACAAGUUUGUACUUGAUAAAUUGAUUGUUUUGUUAGCAUUUUGGUCUUCAAUUUUCUAAAGAAGUUUACAUCAGAAAGGAAAAGUGGGUUGUGGGGAGGGGGAGGGUAAACAACACACCGUUCUUAGUCUUUAAUUUGUGAGGAUAAUAUGUUUCAUAUUCUUUAACUACUCUUCAGUACGUUUCUAAAGCACUAAGUUAAUGGUGGAAUUCUAUUUGAA